UGCCCAGCAACUCCUAUCCCUACCUCCUCAUGGUACGAGCAACCCUAGGGAAGAUCGGGUAACAAACCCCGGUGUGAAGUUUGGUCGUAUGCUGACAGGGAAGG
This 104-nucleotide ribozyme is filed under the name Aedes aegypti (yellow fever mosquito). RNAcentral's name for it is "drz-agam-1 ribozyme". It matches the Rfam family "drz-agam-1 ribozyme". Lineage: Eukaryota; Metazoa; Arthropoda; Insecta; Diptera; Culicidae. The record is from Rfam by way of RNAcentral.